Molecule: transfer RNA, 72 nt
Filed under: Pseudomonadales bacterium
Lineage: Bacteria; Pseudomonadati; Pseudomonadota; Gammaproteobacteria; Pseudomonadales
Also listed under: 1 other name
Description: tRNA-Glu
Rfam family: tRNA
About the family: Transfer RNA (tRNA) molecules are approximately 80 nucleotides in length. Their secondary structure includes four short double-helical elements and three loops (D, anti-codon, and T loops). Further hydrogen bonds mediate the characteristic L-shaped molecular structure. tRNAs have two regions of fundamental functional importance: the anti-codon, which is responsible for specific mRNA codon recognition, and the 3' end, to which the tRNAs corresponding amino acid is attached (by aminoacyl-tRNA synthetases). tRNAs cope with the degeneracy of the genetic code in two manners: having more than one tRNA (with a specific anti-codon) for a particular amino acid; and 'wobble' base-pairing, i.e. permitting non-standard base-pairing at the 3rd anti-codon position.
Source: RNAcentral
GGCCCCAUCGUCUAUCGGCUAGGAUAACAGGUUUUCAUCCUGUAGAGCGGGGUUCGAUUCCCCGUGGGGUCA